Molecule: long non-coding RNA, 1238 nt
Filed under: Trifolium pratense (red clover)
Lineage: Eukaryota; Viridiplantae; Streptophyta; Magnoliopsida; Fabales; Fabaceae
Description: long non-coding RNA (TPRA_LNC011597)
Source: RNAcentral
GUGAUUGGUCGCAAGUACUUAAUUGUGUUAACUACUUUGGUAAACAAUUUUACGUUAAUAAAAUAACUUAUAUACUUGAAGACUUUGUUAAUUUAGUUCUUCUAUUAUCUUCAUGAAGACCAUGGAACGGUCAUGCUUUAUUUCCCCAACACAAGCCAUGCUUCAGGGAUAUAAACUAUACAAGGUUUCAUAGCUUGUAACAUACAUACAAGGUUGCUACUUAACAAUUAUCAAAACAGCCCAUUGGAACAGUGCACACCAGGUUAGACUAUGGUCCUAAAACUAAUUUGGUAUCAGACAAGUACUAAAAUCAGACCUGGAGCGAGAACAAUCCGCUUCCGAGCUAACUUUAUUAUCCUUAGUUAAUCUUGUAUUUCCCUUCUGUACACAAGCAGACCUCAGCCAUAUGAAAAGUGAUAUUAAAGCUUGGUUUUUAAGUUCCCAAACAACUCCAAAACAGUUCUAAAUUAUUCCAAUGUUAAUUUCCUAUGAUUACUAUUCAAUUAGGAAUUAAUUUUGUGAUUGAAGAACACAUAGUUUAUGGUUUUAAUCUCUAAUUAGAAAUUCUGAUUUUCUUUCCACUUUUCAAUCCAAAACAUACACACUCAAAACAUAAAUGUAUAAACCAAUAUUUCAAAACAAAGUUGCAGGAUGUAAAAUCACAAAUUAUAACAGAUUAAGACAAAACGAAAUUACACUCCGAAGUACAAAAUCACCAAUCAGAAUCACAGACCAGAAAUCAAAAGGAAGGAAUUAAAGAAAGCAUAAAUCUAUUCUAAUUCGCCCAAUUACUAAACAUAAGACCAGAAAUUCAAGAAUGGCUUAUGCUAAUUCAAAAGGGUAGAAUGAAAAUAGAAUAACCACAUAGUAACAAAAUUAAAAGGUACGGGACAGAAAUCAAAAUAAAAGAAAUAGAGAGACAUAAGAACUUAAUCUAAUCCAACCAAUUACGAAGUAUUAGUUUUCCCCUAACCUUAAGUUUUGAUGAAUUCUUUCUUUGAUCCUAGCUGCUGAAAUCCUUUCUUCUCCUUCCUAUGGCGGCUGCCGGCGGCUGCCUCUACCUCCUCUCUACCUCAAUUUUUCUGAUUUUCUUUCUAAGUUACAAAACUAGGUUAAUUCCAGGUUUUAUUAAACUAGUUUUAACAUAAUUCUUAUUUUUUUUGGGCUUCCUAUCUGCACCCCUCUUUUACUUCGUGUUAUCAAACCCAAGUCCACUUACUACUUUUCUAUUAUUACUA